RNAcentral lists this ribosomal RNA (433 nucleotides) under uncultured bacterium. RNAcentral's name for it is "partial 16S ribosomal RNA". It matches the Rfam family "Bacterial small subunit ribosomal RNA", at positions 29 to 507 of the family's 1533-position model. The record is from RNAcentral.
AACGAACGCUGGCGGCAUGCCUAACACAUGCAAGUCGAACGAGACCUUCGGGUCUAGUGGCGCACGCGUGCGUAACGCGGGGGAACCUGCCUUUAGGUUCGCCAGAACUCCCCGAAUGGGGUGCGAAUACCGGAGCUAGUCUUCCGUCCAAAGAUUGAUCGCCUUUGGGUGGGCCGGCGUUCGAUUAGCUAGCGGGUAGGGUAAAAGCCUCUCAAGGCGACGUUCCAUAGCUGGUUUGAGAGGAUGAUCAGCCACACUGGGACUGAGACACGGUCGAGACUCUUACGCGAGGCAGCAGUGGGUGAUAUUGGAAAGUGGGCUAAAGCCUGAACCAGCAAUGCCGCGUGAGUGAUGAAGGCCGUGGGGUUGUAAAGCUCGUUUAUCCGGGAUGAUAAUGACAGUACCGGGAGAAUAAGCUCCGGCUAACUCCGUG